Long non-coding RNA from Vombatus ursinus (common wombat), 244 nucleotides. RefSeq lists it as uncharacterized. The record is from RefSeq and is a predicted model, not a curated record. The transcript has 3 exons. Lineage: Eukaryota; Metazoa; Chordata; Mammalia; Diprotodontia; Vombatidae.
UACCCAGAUAGUGCUCUAGUUGACUGGGAGACAAGAGAUUCCAAGUAAUGAGGAGCUUUUUCUGAAAUUUUUGCAAGAAGCUCCAAAUUGAAAACAGGAGAGUUGAUGUGGGUACAUAAUGAAGGCCUGGCUGGGUCGGCUGUGGAAUUCUAUGGAAGCUGAAACCUGUUUAAUGGAGCCCGUACCUUUCCACGUUUGGGCCCUGUACCAGCUUCAUCCUUCUACUACCCAGACAAAAGGACCC